UACGAAGGGGACUAGCGUUGUUCGGAAUUACUGGGCGUAAAGCGCGUGUAGGCGGACUGGUCAGUCAGAGGUGAAAGCCCGGGGCUCAACCCCGGAACUGCCUUUGAUACUGCCAGUCUAGAGUUCGGAAGAGGCAAGUGGAAUGUCGAGUGUAGAGGUGAAAUUCGUAGAUAUUCGACGGAACACCAGUGGCGAAGGCGGCUUGCUGGUCCGAUACUGACGCUGAGACGCGAAAGCGUGGGGAGCAAACAGG
RNAcentral lists this ribosomal RNA (253 nucleotides) under uncultured bacterium. RNAcentral's name for it is "partial 16S ribosomal RNA". It matches the Rfam family "Bacterial small subunit ribosomal RNA", at positions 524 to 776 of the family's 1533-position model. The record is from RNAcentral.